CUGACCGCUGGCGGCGUGCCUAAUACAUGCAAGUCGAGCGAACGGACGAGAAGCUUGCUUCUCUGAUGUUAGCGGCGGACGGGUGAGUAACACGUGGAUAACCUACCUAUAAGACUGGGAUAACUUCGGGAAACCGGAGCUAAUACCGGAUAAUAUUUUGAACCGCAUGGUUCAAAAGUGAAAGACGGUCUUGCUGUCACUUAUAGAUGGAUCCGCGCUGCAUUAGCUAGUUGGUAAGGUAACGGCUUACCAAGGCAACGAUGCAUAGCCGACCUGAGAGGGUGAUCGGCCACACUGGAACUGAGACACGGUCCAGACUCCUACGGGAGGCAGCAGUAGGGAAUCUUCCGCAAUGGGCGAAAGCCUGACGUAGCAACGCCGCGUGAGUGAUGAAGGUCUUCGGAUCGUAAAACUCUGUUAUUAGGGAAGAACAUAUGUGUAAGUAACUGUGCACAUCUUGACGGUACCUAAUCAGAAAGCCACGGCUAACUACGUG
Molecule: ribosomal RNA, 496 nt
Filed under: uncultured bacterium
Lineage: Bacteria
Description: partial 16S ribosomal RNA
Rfam family: Bacterial small subunit ribosomal RNA
Source: RNAcentral